ACAAGCGGCGGAGCAUGCGGAUUAAUUCGAUGCAACGCGAAGAACCUUACCUACCCUUGACAUGUCCGGAACUUGCCAGAGAUGGCUUGGUGCCCGAAAGGGAACCGGAACACAGGUGCUGCAUGGCUGUCGUCAGCUCGUGUCGUGAGAUGUUGGGUUAAGUCCCGCAACGAGCGCAACCCUUGUCCUUAGUUGCUACGCAAGAGCACUCUAAGGAGACUGCCGGUGACAAACCGGAGGAAGGUGGGGAUGACGUCAAGUCCUCAUGGCCCUUAUGGGUAGGGCUUCACACGUCAUACAAUGGUCGGUACAGAGGGUUGCCAAGCCGCGAGGUGGAGCCAAUCCCACAAAGCCGAUCGUAGUCCGGAUUGUUCUCUGCAACUCGAGAGCAUGAAGUCGGAAUCGCUAGUAAUCGCAGGUCAGCAUACUGCGGUGAAUACGUUCCCGGGUCUU
Molecule: ribosomal RNA, 453 nt
Filed under: uncultured Thiobacillus sp.
Lineage: Bacteria; Pseudomonadati; Pseudomonadota; Betaproteobacteria; Nitrosomonadales; Thiobacillaceae
Description: bacterial SSU rRNA
Rfam family: Bacterial small subunit ribosomal RNA
Source: RNAcentral